Centruroides sculpturatus (bark scorpion) is the source of this 1741-nucleotide long non-coding RNA. RefSeq lists it as uncharacterized. NCBI's taxonomy places the organism in Eukaryota, Metazoa, Arthropoda, Arachnida, Scorpiones, Buthidae. The transcript is spliced from 3 exons. The record is from RefSeq and is a predicted model, not a curated record.
AUUAUUAUUAAAUAUGAAAUAUAAAACCUAUUAAUUGUAUAAAAAUUAUAAAAACAUCCCAGACAAAGAAAAUAUAACUCAGAAAUAAUUGAUUUCCAACCUAAUUAACUAGAGUGUCGUUAAAACCGAAAACGGCCGGCGACGGGUGGGUUUCCCUCGGACGUGACAUUUUACUUAGAACACCGAGGAUUAGAAAACAAUAUUUUAAUAAAUAAAUCAAGAGUUGUGGAUUUGAGUCCCAUUCUGGACAAUUAUUUUCUUUCGGAAUAUUCUAAAUUUAAAAUUAAUUUAAUUCUAAUUUUUAAAUUUAUUAGGAGAACAGCUAAACCACCUAUCUCUAGCCAAACUGAUUUGUUAUCUAAUUAGUUAUUAGGCUCAACAUAGCCCAAUAGAUAAUCUGACAGAUCAUUUGGUAAUAGAAAUGUGCUGGGUUGUUGUUUAUUAUGUAAAUUACACAAUCAAUCCGCAAGAAGGAAGUGCAGCUACCCAUUCUUUCACAGUUAAGAAAAUAUUGUGGCAAUAUAAAUUAAAACUUUCAGUUGUAUGAAAUAUGUUGUAAAUUCCCGAUCUUACAAUGGUGGAAGCAAUUGUUUCCAAUCAAACCCCAACCACUUGUAAUGUAAUCUGAGUAAAUUUUCUUUUUAGCGAAGUUUUACAUUUAACAAAUAUUCUGCCAAAUCCGAGAGAAAAGAAUUUGUUAAAAAUAAACUUUCCUUUAAAAAAUGCAAUUAAAAUACUCGAAAUAUUACAUCUAUGACGUAAAACUCGUGACGUAACGCGUGACGCAUUGCAACGACAAAUUCGAAUUCGUUCCAUUUCGUAUUGUUGCCGACGCCAUCUUGGAAAUUUAUGCUUUCCGGAAAUUGCGAGUUCUUUUUCCCUCCAUUUUAACAUUUUUCGUACAAAUUUUAAUAAUGAAAACUCGCGUAACGUAGGUAACUUAAUAUUUUUCGAUUUAUAUCAAAAUUAAAUAAUUUAAAUUAGAUACGCUUUAAACCUAGAUUUGCGGCCUGUAACCUGUAAGGUUACGGAAUGCGUUUUUAUAAUUUUAUUUAUUAUUACAAAUAUCUUAGCGAUAUUUUACAAAAAAAGAGGACUAUUUUAGCAUUUUAAAGAAAACAUUUGCAAUUAGUUAAUAUUCUGACGUAGAACUUAUGACGUAACGUGUGACGCAUUUAUCGCACGUUCCACCGAUUCGAAUUCGUUCGAUUUCGUAUUGCCGACGCCAUCUUGAAAUAGAAAGUUUUCUGGAAAUUGCGAGUUAUUUUUCCCUCCAUUUCGAGAUUUUUCGUAAAUGUUUAAUUACAUAAACCCGAAUAACGCAGGCAAUGAAGAAGUAUCAUUCUGAAAUUUUAUAAUCCACUUUCCAAAGAGACAUGGAAUCAUUUUAAAAACUUCUUGUGCUAAAAAAAUUAACAAGAAGCAAAACAAAGGAAAGGAAGAAGUAUCAUUCUGAAAUUUUAUAAUCCACUUUUCAAAGAAACAUGGAAUCAUUUAAUUAAAAACUUCUUGUGCUCAAAAAAUUAACAAGAAGCAAAACAAAAGAAAGGUAAGACUGUUUUAUUUUCAUUCUAAAUUGUUAUGUAUUAUAAACAUUGUUUCAGUAGAAAAUGGCAUAUAAAAUUUUAGAAUCCUCAUUGAUGAAUCUAAGAAUUUAUUGUAGUAGAAUGAUGCUUGAAAUGUAAUGUUAUUCAUUCAUGCAUUCAAAAUAAUACGAAUUGCAAUUUUAAUGAAAAGUAAC